This 478-nucleotide ribosomal RNA is filed under the name uncultured bacterium. RNAcentral describes it as "partial 16S ribosomal RNA". It matches the Rfam family "Bacterial small subunit ribosomal RNA", at positions 28 to 507 of the family's 1533-position model. The record is from RNAcentral.
GAUGAACGCUGGCGGCGUGCUUAACACAUGCAAGUCGAACGAGAAGUGAAGACGGAAACCUUCGGGCGGAAGGCUUUAUUUCGAGUGGCGGACGGGUGAGUAACGCGUGGGUAACCUGCCUCAUACAGGGGGAUAACAGUUGGAAACGACUGUUAAUACCGCAUAAGACCACAGCACCGCAUGGUGCGGGGGUAAAAACUCCGGUGGUAUGAGAUGGACCCGCGUUCGAUUAGCCAGUUGGCGGGGUAACGGCCCACCAAAGCGACGAUCGAUAGCCGAUUUGGGAGGAUGACCAGCCACAGUGGGAAUGAGACCCGGCCCAAACCCCUACGGGAGGCAGCAGGUGGGAAUAUUAGACAAUGGGGGAAACCCCGAUUGAGCCAAGCCGCGGUAGGGAAGAAGGUCUUUGGGUUGUAAAGCCCUUUCAGGCGGGAAGAAAAAGACGGGACCAGGAGAAGAAGCCCCGGGCAAAUCAGGG